CGGCUCGUUCACGCAAACCGAGGACUUCCAAGGUCUACAGAGACACGUACUGAUAGGUCUCGAUGUACCGGAGGCCGUGCUCAUGAUCCAGAGCACAGCGGCUCGCUGUGGGAAGCGCGGGAGCAACCCGAAGGUUCAGCGAACAGCGCGCAGUCAGGGAAGAUCGCGCCGAACAGGACUAACCGGGCACUGCUGAUCCAAAAGAAGGUGAGCACUGUGAUCAGCACUGACCAGCGGUCACCGUGCUCACCUCCGGAGGCAUCGGAACAGCCUCGGAUCGCCAGAUAAGCGUGCGCAAGCCCAAAACAGCAGCCAAACAGGCUCGAUAGGGUCGACAAUGCCGAAACAGUUGAACGGAGUCUCCCUGACAGAAUCUAAGGUGAGCACGAUGAUCAGCAAUUUGCUACGAUCAUCGUGCUCCCUUCCGCAGAGAUUGGGGAGGCUCGGGAAGCUCAGAACACAAAACAUCUAAAAUAAGCCCUAUUUUGGGCUUGGCCGGAGCAAGGUUGCUCCGGCCGGCUUCCGACGGCACGGCGGCGCGCGCGGAGGCCAAGGAUGGGUGCGGGGGAGGUGAGGAGUACGAUGCUCACCUCAGUUAGCGGCUGGAAGCGGCGGCGGCAGUG
RNAcentral lists this long non-coding RNA (623 nucleotides) under Ananas comosus (pineapple). RNAcentral's name for it is "long non-coding RNA (ACOM_LNC023448)". Lineage: Eukaryota; Viridiplantae; Streptophyta; Magnoliopsida; Poales; Bromeliaceae. The record is from RNAcentral.